Molecule: ribosomal RNA, 492 nt
Filed under: uncultured bacterium
Lineage: Bacteria
Description: partial 16S ribosomal RNA
Rfam family: Bacterial small subunit ribosomal RNA
Source: RNAcentral
AGUGAACGCUGGCGGUAGGCCUAACACAUGCAAGUCGAACGGCAGCACAGUAAGAGCUUGCUCUUACGGGUGGCGAGUGGCGGACGGGUGAGGAAUACAUCGGAAUCUACUUUUUCGUGGGGGAUAACGUAGGGAAACUUACGCUAAUACCGCAUACGACCUACGGGUGAAAGCAUGGGAUCUUCGGACCUUGCGCGAUUGAAUGAGCCGCUGUCGGAUUAGCUAGUUGGCGGGGUAAUGGCCCACCAAGGCGACGAUCCGUAGCUGGUCUGAGAGGAUGAUCAGCCACACUGGAACUGAGACACGGUCCAGACGCCUACGGGAGGCAGCAGUGGGGAAUAUUGGACAAUGGGCGCAAGCCUGAUCCAGCCAUACCGCGUGGGUGAAGAAGGCUUUCGGGUUGUAAAGACCUUUUGUUGGGAAAGAAAAGCAGCAGGUUAAUACCCCGCUGUUCUGACGGUACCCAAAGAAUAAGCACCGGCUAACUUCGUG